RNAcentral lists this transfer RNA (67 nucleotides) under Xenophyes cascus. Its description in RNAcentral is "tRNA-Trp". The record is from RNAcentral. Lineage: Eukaryota; Metazoa; Arthropoda; Insecta; Hemiptera; Peloridiidae.
AAGGUUUUAAGUUAAAGAAACUUUUAACCUUCAAAGUUAAAAUUAAAGUAAUCUAGCUUUAAACCUU